GCGAGGCCGACAGGCGUAGUCGAUGGACAACGGUUGAUAUUCCCGUACCGGCGAAAUGGCGCCCAUGAUGAGCCCGGUGAUGCUAACCACCCAAAGCACCUCGUAUCAAUGCCUUCGGGCUGCGAGCUUGGUGUGGAGCGUGGGACCCGACCCGGUAGUAGUCAAGCGAUGGGGUGACACAGGAAGGUAGCCCAACCGCCGCGAUGGUAGACGGCGGGUAAGCAUGUAGGGGGUGUGGUAGGCAAAUCCGCCACACGGCCGUUUGAUCGGUGGCCCUGAGAUGUGAUGCCGACCCCGUAGGGGGAAGUGGGUGAUCCUAUGCUGUCGAGAAAAACCUCUAGCGAGCCAUGAGCCGCCCGUACCCGAAACCGACUCAGGUGAUCAGGUAGAGAAUACCGAGGCGAUCGAGACAACCAUGGUUAAGGAACUCGGCAAAAUGCCCCGUAACUUCGGGAGAAGGGGGGCCUGGAUCGUGUAGCCGCUUGCCGGUGUAGCGUGAAGGGCCGCAGAGACCAGGGGAAAGCGACUGUUUACUAAAAACACAGGUCCGUGCGAAGUUGUAAGACGAUGUAUACGGACUGACUCCUGCCCGGUGCUGGAAGGUUAAGAGGACGGGUUAGACCGCAAGUCGAAGCUCAGAAUUUAAGCCCCAGUAAACGGCGGUGGUAACUAUAACCAUCCUAAGGUAGCGAAAUUCCUUGUCGGGUAAGUUCCGACCUGCACGAAUGGAGUAACGACUUUCCUACUGUCUCAACCAUGGACUCGGCGAAAUUGCACUACGAGUAAAGAUGCUCGUUACGCGCGGCAGGACGGAAAGACCCCGGGACCUUUACUAUAGUUUGGCAUUGGUGUUUGGUUCGGCUUGUGUAGGAUAGGUGGGAGACUGUGAAACCUCGACGCCAGUUGGGGUGGAGUCAACGUUGAAAUACCACUCUGGUCGUACUAGAUGUCUAACCUAGGGCCAUGAUCUGGUUCAGGGACAGUGCCUGAUGGGUAGUUUAACUGGGCGGUUGCCUCCCAAAGAGUAACGGAGGCGCUCAAAGGUUCCCUCAGCCUGGUUGGCAAUCAGGUGUUGAGUGUAAGUGCACAAGGGAGCUUGACUGUGAGACAGACAUGUCGAGCAGGGACGAAAGUCGGAACUAGUGAUCCGGCAACUGCGAGUGGAAGCGUUGUCGCUCAACGGAUAAAAGGUACCCCGGGGAUAACAGGCUGAUCUUCCCCAAGAGUCCAUAUCGACGGGAUGGUUUGGCACCUCGAUGUCGGCUCGUCGCAUCCUGGGGCUGGAGUAGGUCCCAAGGGUUGGGCUGUUCGCCCAUUAAAGCGGCACGCGAGCUGGGUUUAGAACGUCGUGAGACAGUUCGGUCCCUAUCCGCCGCGCGCGUAGGAAACUUGAGAAAGGCUGUCCCUAGUACGAGAGGACCGGGAUGGACGAACCUCUGGUGUGCCAGUUGUACCGCCAGGUGCAUGGCUGGUUGGCUACGUUCGGAAGUGAUAACCGCUGAACGCAUCUAAGCGGGAAGCACGUUUCAAGAUGAGGUUUCCCACCCCUUGUGGGUUAAGGCCCCCAAAAGAUGAUUGGGUUGAUAGGCCGGAGGUGUACAGCAGCAAUGCCCAGCCGACCGGUACUAAUAGGCCGAAGACUUGCCACAACA
RNAcentral lists this ribosomal RNA (1652 nucleotides) under Pimelobacter simplex. Its description in RNAcentral is "partial 23S ribosomal RNA". It matches the Rfam family "Bacterial large subunit ribosomal RNA", at positions 1396 to 2925 of the family's 2925-position model. Lineage: Bacteria; Bacillati; Actinomycetota; Actinomycetes; Propionibacteriales; Nocardioidaceae. The record is from RNAcentral.